GACGGAGGGUGCUAGCGUUGUUCGGAAUUACUGGGCGUAAAGGGUGCGUAGGCGGCACCGCAAGUCAUGGGUGAAAGCCCGGGGCUCAACCCCGGAAUUGGCCGUGAAACUGCGGCGCUCGAGGCCGAGAGAGGGGGGUGGAAUACCCAGUGUAGAGGUGAAAUUCGUAGAUAUUGGGUGGAACACCGGUGGCGAAAGCGGCCCCCUGGCUCGGUCCUGACGCUGAGGCACGAAAGCGUGGGGAGCAAACAGG
RNAcentral lists this ribosomal RNA (253 nucleotides) under uncultured bacterium. RNAcentral's name for it is "partial 16S ribosomal RNA". It matches the Rfam family "Bacterial small subunit ribosomal RNA", at positions 524 to 776 of the family's 1533-position model. The record is from RNAcentral.